RNAcentral lists this ribosomal RNA (497 nucleotides) under uncultured bacterium. Its description in RNAcentral is "partial 16S ribosomal RNA". It matches the Rfam family "Bacterial small subunit ribosomal RNA", at positions 28 to 507 of the family's 1533-position model. The record is from RNAcentral.
GAUGAACGCUGGCGGCGUGCCUAAUACAUGCAAGUCGAGCGAACAGACGAGGAGCUUGCUCCUCUGACGUUAGCGGAGGACGGGUGAGUAACACGUGGAUAACCUACCUAUAAGACUGGGAAAACUUCGGGAAACCGGAGCUAAUACCGGAGAAUAUAUUGAACCGCAUGGGUCAAUAGUGAAAGACGGCUUUGCUGUCACUUAUAGAUGGAUCCGAGCGGCAUUAGCUAGUUGGUAAGGUAACGGGUUACCAAGGCAACGAUGCGUAGCCGACGUGAGAGGGGGGUAGGCCACACUGGAACUUAGACAGGGACCAGGCUCCUAAGGGAGGCAGCAGUCGCGAAUCGGCCGCAAUGGUGGAGAGCCUGACGGAGCGACGCCGCGUGUGUGAUGAAGGUGUUCGGUGCGUAAUACUCUGUUAUGAGGGGAGAACAAAUGUGUAAGGAAAUAUGCACGGCUUGACGGUACUUGAUCAAAAAGCCACGGCUAACUACGUG